CCCUUAGAGUUUGAUCAUGGCUCAGAUUGAACGCUGGCGGCAGGCCUAACACAUGCAAGUCGAGCGGUAGAGAGAAGCUUGCUUCUCUUGAGAGCGGCGGACGGGUGAGUAAUGCCUAGGAAUCUGCCUGGUAGUGGGGGAUAACGUUCGGAAACGGACGCUAAUACCGCGUACGUCCUACGGGAGAAAGCAGGGGACCUUCGGGCCUUGCGCUAUCAGAUGAGCCUAGGUCGGAUUAGCUAGUUGGUGGGGUAAUGGCUCACCAAGGCGACGAUCCGUAACUGGUCUGAGAGGAUGAUCAGUCACACUGGAACUGAGACACGGUCCAGACUCCUACGGGAGGCAGCAGUGGGGAAUAUUGGACAAUGGGCGAAAGCCUGAUCCAGCCAUGCCGCGUGUGUGAAGAAGGUCUUCGGAUUGUAAAGCACUUUAAGUUGGGAGGAAGGGUUGUAGAUUAAUACUCUGCAAUUUUGACGUUACCGACAGAAUAAGCACCGGCUAACUCUGUGCCAGCAGCCGCGGUAAUACAGAGGGUGCAAGCGUUAAUCGGAAUUACUGGGCGUAAAGCGCGCGUAGGUGGUUUGUUAAGUUGGAUGUGAAAUCCCCGGGCUCAACCUGGGAACUGCAUUCAAAACUGACUGACUAGAGUAUGGUAGAGGGUGGUGGAAUUUCCUGUGUAGCGGUGAAAUGCGUAGAUAUAGGAAGGAACACCAGUGGCGAAGGCGACCACCUGGACUAAUACUGACACUGAGGUGCGAAAGCGUGGGGAGCAAA
This 774-nucleotide ribosomal RNA is filed under the name uncultured bacterium. Its description in RNAcentral is "bacterial SSU rRNA". It matches the Rfam family "Bacterial small subunit ribosomal RNA", at positions 1 to 772 of the family's 1533-position model. The record is from RNAcentral.